This is a long non-coding RNA of Pseudopipra pipra, 2763 nucleotides long. RefSeq lists it as uncharacterized. The transcript is spliced from 2 exons. The record is from RefSeq and is a predicted model, not a curated record. NCBI's taxonomy places the organism in Eukaryota, Metazoa, Chordata, Aves, Passeriformes, Pipridae.
UUGAUUCAAAAUUGUUAAAAUAAAUCUUAUCAAUAUAUGUUUUCAUACACCGAUUAUUUAGUGUCGUUUCGCUUUAAUCCACCCCAAAGGAAUUUUUGAUAAAACCUGGGUUACCCCCCCUCUUUUCCUGGGGCAGGUCGUAACAUUUUUGGCGUCACGGACAGGAUCCUUUGGAUAUAGUGGAGUAAUCGGUGUAGUCUAAAACUGGUACCGAGGGCGAGUUAAAUGGUGACUGUCCCCUCGCAGUAAAAUUAUAGUAAGAAUUUUUCUCCUCUCGGUGUGACCCGGGCACAUCAGACUUGUUGAAAGGUUUCCUGGUGUGGCCUGGACCUGUUGAAAGGUUCUCUGGUACCUGGACCUGUUGAAAGGUUUUCCAGGAGAGAGUCAAACCAGCCCUCAGAGGGUUAAGGGGGAGAAAGACAUUAACCUAAGCUGGGUUAAUGACUGAGGCAAAGGGGAUGAUGACACCCCAGGUUGAGUUAUAUGGGGAUUAUUCCCUCCUGAUAGCUAUCCUUGGUUUAGAACUGUUUUUUGUGGGUGCUGUCUUAGGCGUGUUCCUUAGAGCAGUGCAAAGGCAAAAAUCAGCUAUUCAGAAAUCUGUAAGUGAAGUGAUAAAAUCUUUCCAAGAGUCAAUGAGAACUUUGCAGGACCAGCUAGAAAAAGAGGCUAUUCAAAAAUCUACCGGUGAGGUGAUAAGGUCUCUUCAAGAGACAAUGAAGGCAUUACAGGAGCAAUUAGGAAAAGAACGCCUGCAGUUAACUGCUGAACGUCAGGCACUGGAGAAAGAGAGAGAGAUUAACUCAUUGCUUAGGUCAGCCCUUGAAGAUGAGGAGGAACAAAAUGAAAGGCUUAAACAGAUACUGGAAAUGAAAAAUUGUGAAUUGCGAGACAUUAAUUCAAAAUACCCUAAACCGGUAGAUGUUAACGAAUCCCUGUACCCCUCUGGGGAAUUAGAAGAGUUGAAGCAAAGUUACCCGGAGGAGGGGGUAAUACAUAUGCGUCCCCUCAUUAAAACUGAAACCACUGGCCAGGGGACAGACAGGCAAACUACCACACGAACUACCCCGUACACGGGGGAAGCACUGGCCAAAAUUCAGGAAAAAUACAGUCGUAAGGCCAGUGAAUCAGAGACUGAAUAUGUGUGGAGGGUGUCCCUUACUGGGGGAGAUCGGAUUUUGUUGAGUGAAGAUGAGGCCAGAGGAUUUUGGGGCCCAGGGGUUUUCCUGACCACAAAUGAUAACCGAGCUCCGUGGUCCCUGACCCAAAGAGCUGCCUACUGGGCAGGUGGGUUAGACCCUAUAGAAAGGGGAGAUCCUUACACGAUUAAAACACCCACAAUUGGCCACAUUGUAAAAAGUGUACAAAAAACCGCAUAUCUCCAGUUAAUGCAUACAAAAUUAUUAGACCCACAACGAAAUUCCCCAAUGGAACUCGAGGCAGAUCCACAGAGAUUUCCAGUUUUAAUUCGAGGCCUGCCUGAUGCACUAAAAGUUUAUGCUAAACAAUUACAGGAGCGCAUAAAGGCAACCCCCAGACCUAGAAGAAGGGGUGCUCCAUCAGGAAUAACCUGGUUGGAAAUAGCCCAAGAAUUAAUAGCUACUGGUCAGCAGCUGGGGCUCUCUGGUACGAGUGGCCAGAGAAUACACUGCAGGAGGGCAGGGAAAGUCCAAAAACCUGCCUCGCCAGGUAUUUGUCAACAAAAUGUGUCAUCUAGCGGGAGAAAGAGAUACAGUCUGUGGAGAGAAGGUGUUGCAAAAGGAAUUCCUCGAGAAGUGAUGGAUAAAUUACCCACUGCUAAUUUAGAAUACUUGAUAAAGCAGUGGGAUAAGAUCAAAGAGCACAAGGCACCCCCUAAGGGCAGCCCCUCUAAGGAGUCCAACACUGUGAUCCCCUCAGCCUCUCCAGAAACUGGACUAACCAGUUUGAGCAGUUCUGAGUCAAGGAACUGGACUUACUGCUCUCCAGUAAAUAAGCCAAAAAAUAGCCAGUGGGUUUAUGAGGGAAAGCUUACAGAAAACAACCAGGGAGAUUUGGUAAUCACUUUUCCUCUCGGCCCUUUUAAAUCUUUGGUUACAUUCGUGGUAGACACGGGUGCACAAGUCUCAGCACUCCAAACUGAAGCUGCUAUUCAGUGUGGCAUUAAACCAGACAAAAAAAAGAUAUGGGUAACUGAUGCUUUUGGCAAAUCCCGACCCCAGUACACUGCUCGAGUGAAAUGCUGGUUACCUGGAGAUGAGACAGCCACAGAAACUAUCAUGAUUGUGGGGCCAUUACCAGCUAACAUCCUGGGGUUAGAUCUCCUAAAGGGGAAGGCCUGGACAGACACCAGAGGGAGAGAAUGGGUGUUUGGUCUCCCAUCCCCCUCUCAUGCUCUGAGUUUAUUUGUUUUUUGGAGAAAACAUGUUCCAAACUUCUCUAUUAUUACUGCCCUAGUGACAUUAUGCCAGAUAAGAAAAGGAGUUGGAUAAAUAGAUUCUUCCUUCUUUUUAACAAUCGGUCCGUAGUGGGCCAGAUUUGUUCUUUUGCAGAAACCUACCAGCAGAGGAGAUAACCUGCCAGCAGAAGAGAUCAAACUGCAUGAAACCAAUGGAGCAUCAAUUGCAGCAAGAGGCAGAAGAGAUAACUGCCCCCACAACUGCUUCUAUUAUCAGCUUACAAGUAUCCCAUGAGAAAACGAAAUAGCAACAGGACUGAAGACUUAUACUGUUCUUUGACAUGUAUUUAUGUUUUUAUCUUAAUAACUUUGUAAUAUGCAUGCCUGUA